GCCUGGGUGGCUCAGUGGUUGAGUAUCUGCCUUCAGCUCAGGAUGUGAUCCUGGGGUUGUGGGAUCAAUUCCUGCAUCGGGCU
This 83-nucleotide transfer RNA is filed under the name Canis lupus familiaris (dog). It matches the Rfam family "tRNA". From Rfam's summary of the family: Transfer RNA (tRNA) molecules are approximately 80 nucleotides in length. Their secondary structure includes four short double-helical elements and three loops (D, anti-codon, and T loops). The record is from Rfam by way of RNAcentral. Lineage: Eukaryota; Metazoa; Chordata; Mammalia; Carnivora; Canidae. RNAcentral also lists the same sequence under 2 other names.